RNAcentral lists this ribosomal RNA (555 nucleotides) under uncultured bacterium. RNAcentral's name for it is "partial 16S ribosomal RNA". It matches the Rfam family "Bacterial small subunit ribosomal RNA", at positions 355 to 902 of the family's 1533-position model. The record is from RNAcentral.
UGGGGAAUUUUGGACAAUUGGGCGAAAGCCUGAUCCAGCAAUGCCGCGUGUGUGAAGAAGGCCUUCGGGUUGUAAAGCACUUUUGUCCGGAAAGAAAUCCUUGGCUCUAAUACAGUCGGGGGAUGACGGUACCGGAAGAAUAAGCACCGGCUAACUACGUGCCAGCAGCCGCGGUAAUACGUAGGGUGCAAGCGUUAAUCGGAAUUACUGGGCGUAAAGCGUGCGCAGGCGGUUUGCUAAGACCGAUGUGAAAUCCCCGGGCUCAACCUGGGAACUGCAUUGGUGACUGGCAGGCUAGAGUAUGGCAGAGGGGGGUUAGAAUUCCACGUGUAGCAGUGAAAUGCGUAGAGAUGUGGAGGAAUACCGAUGGCGAAGGCAGCCCCCUGGGCCAAUACUGACGCUCAUGCACGAAAGCGUGGGGAGCAAACAGGAUUAGAUACCCUGGUAGUCCACGCCCUAAACGAUGUCAACUAGUUGUUGGGGAUUCAUUUCCUAGUAACGUAGCUAACGCGUGAAGUUGACCGCCUGGGGAGUACGGUCGCAAGAUUAAAACUC